Molecule: ribosomal RNA, 253 nt
Filed under: uncultured bacterium
Lineage: Bacteria
Description: partial 16S ribosomal RNA
Rfam family: Bacterial small subunit ribosomal RNA
Source: RNAcentral
UACGUAAGGGGCAAGCGUUGUCCGGAAUCACUGGGCGUAAAGCGCACGUAGGCGGUUUGUCAAGUUGGGGGUGUAAGCUCUAGGCCUAACCUAGAAAUUGCCUCCAAAACUAGCAUACUUGAGUAUUAGAGGGGAAGCUGGAAUUCACGGUGUAGCGGUGAAAUUCGUAGAUAUUCGGAAGAACACCAGUGGCGAAGGCGACUUACUGGACACAUAUUGACGCUGAGGUGCGAAAGCGUGGGGAGCAAACAGG